Armigeres subalbatus is the source of this 1209-nucleotide long non-coding RNA. RefSeq lists it as uncharacterized. Lineage: Eukaryota; Metazoa; Arthropoda; Insecta; Diptera; Culicidae. The record is from RefSeq and is a predicted model, not a curated record. The transcript has 5 exons.
GCUUUGCAACGCCGGCAACAAACUGGAAACAUAAACAGAAAAAAAAAACAAGUGACGUUGCUUCCAAGCUGUUUUUGCGAUUUUUUCUUCUGAAAAAUCAAUAUGUAUAUUGCGAUGUUUGAUUGCUUUUUCAUCAUUCGGCUUUGUGUCAGCAUCUGCAAAACUAAGUUGCAGGCAUCGACGAGAAGCUGGUCAUGGUCACCCCAGGGCGGAAAUCGCUGAUGAGAAGCGCUCAAAGAUGCAACGCAUAGAUGGGAUGGGGUUUCCUCUGAAUAGUCGCUGUGAUACGGUCCGCGUUUUGGAUGGAAUACUCCGGCAGCAUUCACAUUUCUUUGGCAGCUCCAUUGACGAUUUGGUGUUUUUUUUAUAAUCAUAACGUCUCUGGCCUGAAGAAUGCGCAUCAGUUGGGACCACCAUAAAAUGGUGAGAUAAAGCAAAUUCAGAGGAGGCACUUUUCUUUUCGGUGGUUGACAGCUCUACUGCCAGGCGACGAGGAAUGUCUUUUCGGAAUAUUAAUUUCCAUCCGGGAACGAAUCUCAACCAGCAGAAUGCAUCUGGAUUUCGCCUGGGUGGUGCUGGUUGGUUCCUGAGAAAUCGCCGGGUGUAGGAGAUGAGUUGCUGCAGGACCAAUAGGCGUUAUUUCAUUUAAUUUAAUUAAUUAUUUAAUUUAAUUAUUUUUAAUUUAAUUUUAAUUUAAUUUUAAUUUAAUUUUAAUUUAAUUUUAAUUUAAUUUUAAUUUAAUUUUAAUUUAAUUUUAAUUUAAUUUUAAUUUAAUUUUAACUAGCUUUAUGUACCCGGCCUUGCUCGGAAUUGCCAGUUUGAUUUUUAGUUUUUUUCCCAAUCAGAAAAAGAUAAAACCAAUUGGUCAACAGAGUAAUUGUGUUAACUCAUUUAUACUUCAUCAUUUGAUUAAAAGAAGGCUUUUGGAAACAUUGACUGAUCUUGAAAAAGGGAUCGUUGGCUUGAAUAGGCUUAUUCCGGGCAAACGUCAAUUGCUAAAGAAGGAAAAACAUUCACCGAUGCUUUAUCCCGGGCAAACGCCCAUUUUUAAAGAAGGGAUCACACUCACCAUUGCCUUAUUCCGGGCAAAUGCCUACUUUUAAAGAAGCAAUCACAUCCACCAUUCAGAAGGAAACACAUUAAUCAUUGCUUUUCACUGGGCAAGCCAUGAUUCCGAUGCAGGGUAACAAUUAUCAUUGCUAUAUACCC